RNAcentral lists this ribosomal RNA (427 nucleotides) under uncultured bacterium. RNAcentral's name for it is "bacterial SSU rRNA". It matches the Rfam family "Bacterial small subunit ribosomal RNA", at positions 355 to 774 of the family's 1533-position model. The record is from RNAcentral.
UAAGGAAUAUUGGACAAUGGGGGCAACCCUGAUCCAGCCAUGCCGUGUGAGUGAAGAAGGCCCUCGGGUUGUAAAGCUCUUUUGUCCGGAAAGAAAAGCAUUCGGUGAAUACCCGGAUGUUCUGACGGUACCGGAAGAAUAAGCACCGGCUAACUUCGUGCCAGCAGCCGCGGUAAUACGAAGGGUGCAAGCGUUACUCGGAAUUACUGGGCGUAAAGCGUGCGUAGGUGGUUGUUUAAGUCUGAUGUGAAAGCCCUGGGCUCAACCUGGGAAUGGCAUUGGAAACUGGGCAGCUAGAGUGCGGUAGAGGGUAGUGGAAUUCCCGGUGUAGCAGUGAAAUGCGUAGAGAUCGGGAGGAACAUCUGUGGCGAAGGCGGCUACCUGGACCAGCACUGACACUGAGGCACGAAAGCGUGGGGAGCAAACA